This 492-nucleotide ribosomal RNA is filed under the name uncultured bacterium. Its description in RNAcentral is "bacterial SSU rRNA". It matches the Rfam family "Bacterial small subunit ribosomal RNA", at positions 28 to 507 of the family's 1533-position model. The record is from RNAcentral.
GAUGAACGCUAGCUACAGGCUUAACACAUGCAAGUCGAGGGGAAACGACAUCGAAAGCUUGCUUUUGGUGGGCGUCGACCGGCGCACGGGUGAGUAACGCGUAUCCAACCUGCCCACCACUUGGGGAUAACCUUGCGAAAGUAAGACUAAUACCCAAUGAUAUCCCACGAAGGCAUCCGAAUGGGAUUAAAGAUUUAUCGGUGAUGGAUGGGGAUGCGUCUGAUUAGCUUGUUGGCGGGGUAACGGCCCACCAAGGCAACGAUCAGUAGGGGUUCUGAGAGGAAGGUCCCCCACAUUGGAACUGAGACACGGUCCAAACUCCUACGGGAGGCAGCAGUGAGGAAUAUUGGUCAAUGGACGGGAGUCUGAACCAGCCAAGUAGCGUGCAGGACGACGGCCCUAUGGGUUGUAAACUGCUUUUAUAGGGGGAUAAAGUGUGCCACGUGUGGCAUAUUGCAGGUACCCUAUGAAUAAGGACCGGCUAAUUCCGUG